This is a non-coding RNA of Podospora conica, 110 nucleotides long. Lineage: Eukaryota; Fungi; Ascomycota; Sordariomycetes; Sordariales; Podosporaceae. The record is from the annotation of a GenBank genome assembly.
GCAACUUUAGCUCAGUUGGGAGAGCGUCAGACUGAAGUACACUUCAAGUUCAGCAUCACGGUUCCGUGAUUGCAAUCUGAAGGUCACCCGUUCGAUCCGGGUAAGUUGCA